CUAUCACAGCUGGUCGCAAACAUGACACACGUCGUUCGUUACUUUCCUAAGUUACUUCAAAUUUCAAAACAAAUUAAAAAUUUAAACGGAGAUGGGAUAAUAAGUUAACUGUUUUUAGAUAAUUACAGGUCUGGCCAACUAGUUGCUCGUGACAAUAGAAAUAAAAUGUUCUAAUCCAACAACGCUACCUAUGUCUUCUGAAGCUAAAUAAGUUCUGUUGCAAGAUUUUGUAAAUCUUCAAGAUAUUGUUGCCUUCGCCAGAUCCAAUUCUUUGCUGCUAUCUAUUUUGCAGACAACAUCAAGAAAUUUCUGCCACUCAUGAUUUGAUCACCAAAUAGUUCAAAUUUAGGACAAUGUGAGAUUUGUUAAUCCCCCUCCACUGUGAUAGUUGCUUUGAAACUGAAGAGAGAUUGCUGGAAUUGAAGACUGAUUGCAAUUUGUGUAAAUUUUGAUAAAUUACAAGUGCAUGUCUGGGCUCCCUUCAUUUCUGUGGCCCCGUUUCCCUAACUAACUAACUAACGCCCGCCGGUGGUCAUUCACCCGCUGUGAUAACCAGGAAGAGGAAAUUCGUAGGAAAUUAAUGGUAAUUUUCUAAAAAAUUUUAAGUGUGAUACAAUUAUGUUUGCUAAAUGAUGGAUUUUGUAAUAGCUUAGGAUUGUGUAAGUAUUUUAUUUAUUUAAUUACGUUUUGAAAAGGCAUUUUGUGGGCCCCAUUUAUUUGUUAACUUAUUCAAUUGCGCGGAUAUUUUCGUUAUCGAAUAAAUUUAUUAUUGCGGCAAAUUUUAUUAUAUCAUCAAAAUGCUCUAAUGGUU
Molecule: long non-coding RNA, 811 nt
Organism: Daphnia pulicaria
Lineage: Eukaryota; Metazoa; Arthropoda; Branchiopoda; Diplostraca; Daphniidae
Exons: 4
Source: RefSeq, a predicted model, not a curated record